RNAcentral lists this non-coding RNA (26 nucleotides) under Mus musculus (house mouse). Lineage: Eukaryota; Metazoa; Chordata; Mammalia; Rodentia; Muridae. The record is from RNAcentral.
UGCUGCAAACAUUGUUGAAUUUCCAU